CUUCCUCCUGAGACCUGCUCCGGCUCUGCUCUGCUGGCCCCCAGCUUGGCGGGGAUGAGCCGGCAAGCGGGCUAGGGGUGGAGGUCAAAUCAUUGCAAGAGGCUCAUCCCAGACUGCUUCAUGCUGGGGUUAUGUGUGUCUGUUUCCUGGUCUAAAAUGUGGGCUCCGUGAGAGCUAGGAUGUGCGUGGCCCGUCCCCGGGUCCCCUUGCAGCUCACAGCCCAGGCCCCUUUUCCUGUAGCCCACCCUGGCCCAGCCUGGGUCUCCGCUCACCCACGGUGGUGAUGGGCCGGCGGUAGGGCAAGAGACCAAAGCUGUACUGGAAGAUGCCACGGCCAUGGAAGAGCGGGAAGGAAAUACCCAUGAUCCCCUGCAGCCAGUUCUGGAUCCAGCGCAGCCAGGAGCCAGGAGAGUUCUCAACUUGGUCAAAUAAGUCAUUCUCCCCAAAGGAGAAGACUGGCACCAGAGCUGCCCUGGAAGGAGACAGGGGAGAGGAGGCAUUUUGAAGGCCCCAAAGACGACCCCAGCUGGCCCCCUAGCUUCCUGCAGGGACCCAGUGACCAGGAACUGGAGCAGAGGACAGAGCCCUGGGCUGGAAGUAGCGUAUAGAUUGCCUCCCAGACCCGUUGGAGCCUCGCUCUCUGACCCAGGGCAGGCUCUGGCCCCUCUCAGAGCCACGGCCUCCCCGUUGCACCAUGACAGACAGAUUAGAAUGCCUCCGAGGCCUCCCAGUUGGAAAACGCCUGCCAACUUUGUAGAAACGUCUCUCCUGCCCCAGCUAGCUCGGGUGCUUCACAGGCGCUUCGAGAUAAGAGAACAGCCCUGCGCUAUGCAUUCUCCCACAUCCCACAGGCCUCAGAUCUAGUGCUGGCUUUGGGCAACAUGUCCCUUCCCACCAAGGCCCUUUGGUGACAAAGUCUCCAUUCUGGAACCUUUUCUGGGUAUUUGGGCAUGAGACAGUGCAGGUCUCACCAAAAUAUCAUCUGUAUUGUAAAUAAAUGUACUGAGAGAUC
Artibeus jamaicensis (Jamaican fruit-eating bat) is the source of this 1012-nucleotide long non-coding RNA. RefSeq lists it as uncharacterized. The record is from RefSeq and is a predicted model, not a curated record. The transcript has 2 exons. NCBI's taxonomy places the organism in Eukaryota, Metazoa, Chordata, Mammalia, Chiroptera, Phyllostomidae.